Oncorhynchus tshawytscha (Chinook salmon) is the source of this 4369-nucleotide long non-coding RNA. RefSeq lists it as uncharacterized. The record is from RefSeq and is a predicted model, not a curated record. NCBI's taxonomy places the organism in Eukaryota, Metazoa, Chordata, Actinopteri, Salmoniformes, Salmonidae. The transcript is spliced from 5 exons.
GAAAACAUAGUUGCGAGCCUGGCAGCCGCAGGGGUGUGUGCUACAGGGGUAUGAUAAUUAUAAAUAAAACGAUGAUUCAUUUGAGCUUAACAAUUUCCUUGCAAAAAUAUGCAUUUAGGAAGCAACCAUAUACAUCUGAAAAAUCAGUAAACCAUGUACAUGUAAAUGGUGGUGUGAUAGUGCCACAAUCUAUCUGCGGCUAGCUAUAAUGUCGCAAUAAAAGGCUAGCCAACCAUUGAUACCCCCCCUGCUGCUCUUUACCGUAUUCACUCGUUGCCAUCUGUGUGUCUGUUUGCACCCCACCACAGACCUGGAUCAAAUGGGGAUGGACUGGAUGUGCCAUGCAGAGGAGGCAUAGCAGUAACACCGAUGGCAUGCCCUCAGAAAGGUUCGAGUCUACAUUCUAGGACACAGACCUCUCUGCAGGUUCAUCAUAACCUGAAAUUUCCCACUAAAGAGGAAGGACCCAUAGCCAAACCCUGGGAUCAUAAAGCAGCCUGGACCAAGGCUUGUUUGACUGUCUGAAGCCUGACUCUCCUACCUCCCCCAGCAGCUCUUCUCCGGCCUGGUUGGGGUCGGGGUUCCCUCUGGUCCGGCGUGCCCUCAGCUAACUUCCAGGCAGUUGGCCUGGUUCUGGGGACUCCCCAAGACGUCUUCAUCCAGAUGACCGUCUCCUCCAGGGAGGAAAGGGGUCCACACCACACUGAGGGCAUAUGUCACCAUGUGACUACGUUUCAUCCCGAUGUUUGCAAAGCCCAUGUUUGCAAAGCCCAACAUCAACAGCUUUGACUUCUUUGAUCUGGGCGAUGGAGAUCACUGACUUUGUUCUCAAGUACUUCACCAUCAGCCCUGUUUCUGCCCAAGAUCCUCUGGGCCUUUAAAUCCAUGGUUUUGCCCGUUGGGGUCACAGAGUGUAUUUUGACUCGGCUGAUAAACAGGCCAAUCAGAGAGUGAGGCUGCUGCCACUGAGCUCAUUUCUCCCUGGAGGGGUGCAGAGGUGAGGUCAUCCUUCCCUGGGGCUGGACCAUUACUGCUGUGUGUGCUCCCACUCCUCCUCGGCUGCUGGGGUACCCGCGCCACGCUAUCACUAAACCAACCGACCAACCAACCCCCACCUUUCCCACCACCCUCUGCCCCAACCAAACCUUGUCCUGAAACAGGCCCAAGUGGCCCACUUUCAGCCGAUGAAGUCAUGGCCACACAUCAGCCAAUCAUUCUGCUUCGUGCUUUUGCUUUUGCUUCCAUCCACGGAAGGACUGAUUUAAUGAUCUCACAAGCACAAACAUGCAAGUCGGUACAAGUGGAGGCCUACAGAAAAAGACCAGACUCUUGUACAUUGAUUUACUGUAUACCGUGGUGGGUUGUAAAUGUAUUUGAUUUACUUUGCUCUACUGUUAUUUUAACAUUGCUUGUUGGCUACAUUUUUUGGCACUGUCAGUGCACUCCCACUUCAGGGAAAUGUAUUUUCUAAUAACCAUGCAGCAAGAUUGAAUGAAAACAUGCUUUUAGCAGCUGAUAGGAAUUACUUAUAACGGUGGCGUACCCAACUGCUGGGUAGGCUUUGAUUGGUAGGUUGAGAGGUCAGCAUCACUAAUGAAACAAAACAAGCAGAAAGUCCCAGAAUGCUUUAGAACUGCUUCUGUGGCUCAACGUUUCUGGCUGGAGUCCAGUUUUAGUUUGACAUAUCAAGUGGUUGUGUGUGUGUGUGUGUGUGUGUGUGUGUGUGUGUGUGUGUGUGUGUGUGUGUGUGUAGCCAGAACUAGGGGCAGGAAGGGACAAUGAGGAAAGAAGCUGCAGCCUGUGGAGCCUAGGCCAGGGGCCAUGCUUAGUCUGGAGCGUGCUGCUUUAAAACUCUUACAGUGUGCUGCUCUUAACCCAUAAAAGUCUAAGCCCUGUCAAAGCUGGGGGAUGAUCAUUUAGCUAUUUGAUUUUGAAUUUUAAGACCCCUUGAAGUAUAAAAAAAAUAUAUUUAUUUAAAAAAUGAAUUGAAUAACAAAUUCACCACAUGGAACAACAUAUUUUAUAUGUAUUUAACCCCUUAUUUUUGCUGCUGUGUGCAAAACAAAUCCUAGUAAAUGGGUGCGUGCAGCUGUCAAAGUAUUAUGGAUUGAGAUCAUGAGAACUUGGAGAAAUUGAGUCAGAACUGUUCACAGAGGUGUGUCCUCAGAAUAUUGCAAAAUGGGACAGGACACUGCCCAUCAGUGAGUGGUUAAAGAAAAGAAAAUAAGAGAGAGUGGGGGCGGGUUUGAGUCAUUAAGUCGAGCAGAAAGGGAAUCAUAAAAAAGGAAUCACUAGGGCACUGUAUUCAGGGAAGAAUUUGUAAUGUUUCAGAGUGAGAAUUUCUCAUGUUUUAAGGAUAUUAUACAGUGGUCACCAACCUGGUCCAGAGGCAGGCUUUUGUUCCAGGGCUGCACUAAUGCACCCGAUUCUAGUGCCUUGACUGUGUAAUAUGUUUAUCUUUCAGUCGCUUGACCUCUGUGGACGAGUAUCAGCCAUACGCAGGGCUAUAUGGAAAUUCUCUGCAGUUCUCAGGUGAGAAAUGAUUACUUUCUGUAAAGAAAAGUAUCAGGGCCAAAUACCAGCCCACAUCACUGCCCUAUAACACUACUAGCUACAGUUGUAAACCUUCAACUGUCAGUGGGUUUUGCCUGAUCUUGCACUCUGAUUGAAUCAUCUUACUACAUGUACCGUAUUAAAAUGCAACAUCAGAAUAAAGAUACUGUAUACAGUGAGUUGACCCUGUAUGGCAGGGUUCCCCGACUGGUGGCCUGCGGGUGUUUUAUUUGGCCCCCUGAGUUUUCAGAGCAAAACAAAUUGAGAAUUAUUAUUAUUACAUUUUGGGGGGUAUAAAAAAACUGUAAAAACACCAGGAAAUCAGCUCCAAGUUAUUUUAAUUUUGGAACUCUGUUCCCAAGUAUUUCCAUAAUAGGGAGACACGUGAUCAUAAACAAAUGUAAGCAAGGGUUGAAAUUAUUGUUUUAGUCAAAUAUAUCUGUUUGGGCUUCUUGUGGUCAAUUUGCAGUCUUCAAAUUAUUUGUAUUUGCUGUAUGUUCCGGGGGCCCCGACCAUCUGCUCAAGAAAGGUUUGGGCCGCGGCUUAAUCUAGUUGAUAAUCCCUGCCUAAUGGUAUGGGAAUGUAAACACAAGCUUUGUCUCCUUGUGACCACCUACCUGAUGCUCUAUCACCCAUAGAGUUAAGGUGUGAGGGCCAGCAGCAGCCAGCAGUGCAAUGAGGCCGGAGAUGUGUGUACUAUUUGUCAGGGUGACUUCAGAAACCCCAUAGCUCUUCUCAGGCAUGUGAGAGUACAUACAUCAAACCAUAAGCUCUGCUACUACAUACUUUACUAUACCACCAUUCGCCUGUGUUAACCAUGGUAACCACAAGCCGACUGUAACAGUAUGGGCUGUAUCACAACCGGCCAUGAUUGGGUGUCCCAUAGGGUGGCGCACAAUUGGACCAGCGUUGUCCGAGUUAGGGGAGGGUUUGGCCGGGGUAGGCCGUCAUUGUAAAUAAGAAUUUGUUCUUAAUGGACUUGCCUAGUUAAAUAAAAGUUAAAUUUAAAAAAAGGUUUUAUAUGACCCUUAGUGUGGUGUAGCUUGAUGCUAAAGUCACUGUCCAUGACUCUUUUGUUUCUUUCUGUGGCCUUACUGAUCAAUACUGUAUUGAAUAACUGACCAAUAUUCAAUGCAUACUCCUUUUGGUAAACCAAAGUGAAUGUGAGUGUAAAGCCCAUGUGUUUCUCUCUCCCACCUAGCAUGUGUUCUGUGAGGAGUGUCUGUAUUUGUGGUUAGACCGUGAGCAAACAUGCCCACUCUGUGGUCAUAGGCACCACCUCUGCCCACUUCCAGAUCUACUAGCUGGGAUUGACAGCCAUUAGCUUCCACUGGAGGACAUUACAGAGGAAUAAGUCAUUUAAGUAUGCCCUUACUGUGUUGCCCGUUGGAGUCUAAACUCUACAGUCUAUACAGUUGUCUCAUCCAUCCUUGCAAAGAAAUAGAAUGUGAACUUAUCUCCGUGCAGCACAGCAGUGUGGUAUUGGUCAGUAUUAUUGUACAGGGUAGCUUAUGUCAGCACAUGAAUUGCUCAUUUGCUGAUGUAUUUCGUAGAUCUUUCACUAAUGUUACCAUUCUUGCAACAAUUUACGUGUUAUACAUUUCACCUGAUUUCUAGUAAAGAUACAGCUUAUGUUUGAUGACAUCAGACCUACCAAAACAUUUGAGAAACUCGAACACAAGUUGUGUGUUUUCAGUAUGUAUCAGAUUUUUCAAUGGAACCAUGGUUGAAGCAGUAUUGUUCAGCAUUUGUUGAAUGUUUUAUGUUGUCAUUACUUUUUUCAUAACAAUGAUAGCAUGAAAGCAUUUUUACUUUG